CUACAUUCUUAGCUAUAUAAUAUUUCAUCUUCAUCGUGUAAAUAUGUACCUAUGUUUGUAUGUACGUGUUAUGCAAAUAUGUAUUUUGUAGUCUUAUUGUAUUAGUCCUGCGUUAUAAUAUUCAUUGAAAUCAGGUCGUCAUGAUUAUAUGAUGUCAAAUUUAAUUUAACUCCGUCAAAGACAGCAUUUAAAUUAAAAAGUAAAAUUUAAUAUAAAAGUGCGCAGUAUAUGUAAUUGUAAUAAAAUAUUCAUUUGGUUCAAUUAUAAACUACCUAAUUUUAUUUUGGAUUAUUUUAAGUAACAUGCAUCAAAUUAGUUUCUCCCAAAAAUUAAAUUGUACAAUAAUUAAUAAAAAUUAUAUUACAAUGUAAAAGAAGUACUAAUGUUUUUAUGAAGAAAUUAUGUACAAACUUAUAUUAUUUAUAUUAUUAAACUUAUAUCGUUAUACUAUUGUAAACAACUAUGUGCUUAAAUAUUUUAUUAUCCAAUAAAUGAUUACAAUCAGUUAUAAAAAUUUAUAGAA
This is a long non-coding RNA of Bombus pascuorum, 523 nucleotides long. RefSeq lists it as uncharacterized. The record is from RefSeq and is a predicted model, not a curated record. The transcript is spliced from 2 exons. Lineage: Eukaryota; Metazoa; Arthropoda; Insecta; Hymenoptera; Apidae.